GGCCAAGAAUUAAUGGAGGAUACCUGAAGAUUUUUCUUUCCACAAUGUGAUAUAACUGGUGCAUAGAGCCUCCUUGGAUCUUCCAAAAAUAUCAUCUUCAGGUAUGUAUGCCUCCUUCAAAUAUCAUGUUAUUUUACAUACUUGCAUCAGACCAAGACCGAGGACAGCACUCAAUGCGAAAACAAAAAUUUGCUAAGCUAAGAAAAUACCUUGCUUCAUGGAAAAGCCUACAGGAGCCAAGUCAAAAUUGUCAGUUUGCAAAGCCUGGAACCAGAGUGGUGCUGUCAGUUGCAAAAAUCACAUGGCUUAACCCAAACUGACCUGCAAAUUUG
RNAcentral lists this long non-coding RNA (332 nucleotides) under Brachypodium distachyon (stiff brome). Its description in RNAcentral is "long non-coding RNA (BDIS_LNC001672)". Lineage: Eukaryota; Viridiplantae; Streptophyta; Magnoliopsida; Poales; Poaceae. The record is from RNAcentral.